RNAcentral lists this ribosomal RNA (928 nucleotides) under Cortinarius sp. PDD 97072. RNAcentral's name for it is "LSU rRNA". It matches the Rfam family "Eukaryotic large subunit ribosomal RNA", at positions 39 to 953 of the family's 3401-position model. The record is from RNAcentral. Lineage: Eukaryota; Fungi; Basidiomycota; Agaricomycetes; Agaricales; Cortinariaceae.
CAUAUCAAUAAGCGGAGGAAAAGAAACUAACAAGGAUUCCCCUAGUAACUGCGAGUGAAGCGGGAAAAGCUCAAAUUUAAAAUCUGGCAGCCUUUGGUUGUCCGAGUUGUAAUCUAGAGAAGUGUUAUCCGCGCUGGACCGUGUACAAGUCUCCUGGAAUGGAGCGUCAUAGAGGGUGAGAAUCCCGUCUUUGACACGGACUGCCAGGGCUUUGUGAUGCGCUCUCAAAGAGUCGAGUUGUUUGGGAAUGCAGCUCAAAAUGGGUGGUAAAUUCCAUCUAAAGCUAAAUAUUGGCGAGAGACCGAUAGCGAACAAGUACCGUGAGGGAAAGAUGAAAAGAACUUUGGAAAGAGAGUUAAACAGUACGUGAAAUUGCUGAAAGGGAAACGCUUGAAGUCAGUCGCGUUGUCCAGGGAUCAACCUUGCUUUUGCUUGGUGCACUUUCUGGUUGACGGGUCAGCAUCAAUUUUGACUAUUGGAAAAAGAUUAGGGGAAUGUGGCAUCUUUGGAUGUGUUAUAGCCCUUAGUUGCAUACAAUGGUUGGGAUUGAGGAACUCAGCACGCCGCAAGGCCGGGUUUUUAACCACGUACGUGCUUAGGAUGCUGGCAUAAUGGCUUUAAUCGACCCGUCUUGAAACACGGACCAAGGAGUCUAACAUGCCUGCGAGUGUUUGGGUGGAAAACCCGAGCGCGUAAUGAAAGUGAAAGUUGAGAUCCCUGUCGUGGGGAGCAUCGACGCCCGGACCAGACCUUUUGUGACGGUUCCGCGGUAGAGCAUGUAUGUUGGGACCCGAAAGAUGGUGAACUAUGCCUGAAUAGGGUGAAGCCAGAGGAAACUCUGGUGGAGGCUCGUAGCGAUUCUGACGUGCAAAUCGAUCGUCAAAUUUGGGUAUAGGGGCGAAAGACUAAUCGAACCAUCUAGUAGCUG